GAUGAACGCUAGCGGCAGGCCUAACACAUGCAAGUCGAGGGGCAGCACAGAAACAGCAAUGUUUUGGUGGCGACCGGCGGACGGGUGCGUAACGCGUAUGCAACCUGCCUUUAACAGGGGGAUAACGGAGAGAAAUUUCCACUAAUACCCCAUAACAUCGAUCAAGGCAUCUUGAUUGGUUGAAAACUCCGGUGGUUAAAGAUGGGCAUGCGUUGUAUUAGGUAGUUGGUGAGGUAAUGGCUCACCAAGCCUACGAUACAUAGGGGGACUGAGAGGUUAGCACCCCACACUGGUACUGAGACACGGACCAGACUCGUACGGGAGGCAGCAGUGAGGAAUAUUGGUCAAUGGGGGCAACCCUGAACCAGCCAUGCCGCGUGCAGGAAGACGGCUCUAUGAGUUGUAAACUGCUUUUAAACAGGGAUAAAGCACAGUAUGUAUACUGUGUUGAAGGUACUGUAAGAAUAAGGAUCGGCUAACUCCGUGCCAGCCGCCGCGGUAA
This 502-nucleotide ribosomal RNA is filed under the name uncultured bacterium. RNAcentral describes it as "partial 16S ribosomal RNA". It matches the Rfam family "Bacterial small subunit ribosomal RNA", at positions 28 to 523 of the family's 1533-position model. The record is from RNAcentral.